UUGUGUUUCAUUGCAGUAUUUCCUGAAAACUCCUCAGGUGUGGCACUCUGAAUCUGCACGCUGUGGUAUUCUUGAGCAACUCCAUCCUGUAGAGUAUGGAAUUAUAAAGUCAGAAGUAGAAUCCUGUAUGUGGAAGUAAUGUAAGGACUGGAGGGGGAGCUUUUCUUCACACCUUGCUGGGUAUGAAACUUGAACUACACUCGAGAAGGGCAGAAAUGUAGC
Molecule: long non-coding RNA, 222 nt
Organism: Lagopus leucura (white-tailed ptarmigan)
Lineage: Eukaryota; Metazoa; Chordata; Aves; Galliformes; Phasianidae
Exons: 3
Source: RefSeq, a predicted model, not a curated record